RNAcentral lists this ribosomal RNA (495 nucleotides) under uncultured Helotiales. RNAcentral's name for it is "eukaryotic LSU rRNA". The stretch from base 155 to 308 matches the Rfam family "5.8S ribosomal RNA". Lineage: Eukaryota; Fungi; Ascomycota; Leotiomycetes; Helotiales. The record is from RNAcentral.
UGGAAACAGCGGUUAGGAGCUUACACCCACCCGUGUUUACAUACUAUUGUUGCUUUGGCGGGCCGUGGCCUCCACUGCGGGCUCUGCUCGUGUGUGCCCGCCAGAGGACCAAACUCUGAAUGUUAGUGAUGUCUGAGUACUAUCUAAUAGUUAAAACUUUCAACAACGGAUCUCUUGGUUCUGGCAUCGAUGAAGAACGCAGCGAAAUGCGAUAAGUAAUGUGAAUUGCAGAAUUCAGUGAAUCAUCGAAUCUUUGAACGCACAUUGCGCCCUGUGGUAUUCCGCAGGGCAUGCCUGUUCGAGCGUCAUUUAACCACUCACGCCUAGCGUGGUAUUGGGGCACGCGGUCUCCGCGGCCCUCAAAAUUAGUGGCGGUGCCGGUGGGCUCUAAGCGUAGUACAUACUCCCGCUAUAGAGUUCCCCCCGGUGGCUCGCCAGAACCCCCAAUUUUUACAGGUUGACCUCGGAUCAGGUAGGGAUACCCGCUGAACUUAA